This 405-nucleotide ribosomal RNA is filed under the name uncultured bacterium. RNAcentral's name for it is "partial 16S ribosomal RNA". It matches the Rfam family "Bacterial small subunit ribosomal RNA", at positions 28 to 526 of the family's 1533-position model. The record is from RNAcentral.
GACGAACGCUGGCGGCGUGCUUAACACAUGCAAGUCGAACGAGUUGCGAACGGGUGAGUAAUACGUGGGUAACCUGCCCUCCUUUUUGGGAUAAGCCUUGGAAACGGGGUCUAAUACCGAAUAAAGGGGGAUGGGGUCGCGGCCUAUCAGCUUGUUGGUGGGGUGAUGGCUACCAAGGCGUGACGGGUAGCCGGCCUGAGAGGGUGUACGGCCACAUGAGGACUGGGAUACGGCCCAGACUCCUACGGGAGGAAGCGGUGGGGAAUAUUGCACACUGGGCGGAAGCCUGAGGCAGCGACGCCGCGUGGGGAAUGAAGGCCUUCGGGUUGUAAACUCCUUUCGACAGGGACGCGGUACCUGUAUAAGAAGCACCGGCUAACUACGUGCCAGCAGCCGCGGUAAUUC